ACCUACGGGGGGCAGCAGUGAGGAAUAUUGGUCAAUGGGCGGAAGCCUGAACCAGCCACUUCUCUUUCUUUCAGAAGGCCCUGCGGGUCGCAGACCUCUUUGGACGGGGAGCAAGGCCGCCGACGUGUCGGCGGAAGGAGAGUACCCGUAGAACAAGCAUCGGCUAACUCCGUGCCAGCAGCCGCGGUAAUACGGAGGAUGCGAGCGUUAUCCGGAUUUAUUGGGUUUAAAGGGUGCGCAGGCGGCACGGCAAGCCGGCGGUCAAAUCGCGGGGCUCAACCCCGCCCAGCCGUCGGAACUGCCGG
Molecule: ribosomal RNA, 305 nt
Filed under: uncultured bacterium
Lineage: Bacteria
Description: bacterial SSU rRNA
Rfam family: Bacterial small subunit ribosomal RNA
Source: RNAcentral